Impatiens glandulifera is the source of this 230-nucleotide small nucleolar RNA. RefSeq annotates it as small nucleolar RNA U3. The transcript has a single exon. The record is from RefSeq and is a predicted model, not a curated record. Lineage: Eukaryota; Viridiplantae; Streptophyta; Magnoliopsida; Ericales; Balsaminaceae.
ACGACCUUACUUGAACAGGAUCUGUUCUAUAGGCUCGUACAUCUGUAUCCUUGAUUACUAAGGAGACAGGAAUCUAUGUCUGGUUGAUGAGAUCUUACCGCUAGACCAGAGCGUGAUUAACUGUGCUGUGGCUGCCGGCUUUGGCUUGUGGUCAGAUUGCUGUAGAGGAUCGUUCUCAGUCAAUGGCUUUGGCCCCUGGCUGGGUUGGUCUUGCGGUUGUCUGACAGACU